This 908-nucleotide ribosomal RNA is filed under the name Strongyloides fuelleborni. RNAcentral's name for it is "eukaryotic LSU rRNA". It matches the Rfam family "Eukaryotic large subunit ribosomal RNA", at positions 1 to 834 of the family's 3401-position model. The record is from RNAcentral. Lineage: Eukaryota; Metazoa; Nematoda; Chromadorea; Rhabditida; Strongyloididae.
UUUUUGCCUCAAUUAUGUAUGAAUACCCGCUGAACUUAAGCAUAUCGUUAAGCGGAGGAAAAGAAACUAAAUAGGAUUUCCAUAGUAACUGCGAGUGAAUUGGAAUUAGCCCAUCACGAAAUCUAUAUUACAUUAGUAAUAUUAGAAAUGUCGUGUAUAGGUUUUAUUAUUAUCAAUAAAUUUCUAUUAAAUAAUUGUAUUUAAAUAUACAGCCACAGAAGGUGCCAGCCCUGUUGUUUAAUAGAAUUUGUUGAAUUUAUAAAACUUUAGAGUCGUGUUGCUUGGAAGUGCAGCGCAAAGUUGGUGAUAAACAUCAUCUAAGGCUAAAUAUUCCUAUGAAUCCGAUAGCGAACAAGUACUGUGAAGGAAAAUUGCAAAGUACUCCGGAGAGAGAGUUAAAGAGGACGUGAAACCGAUACGAUGGAAGCAUACAGAGCCAGUUGCACUAUUAUUAAUUUUUAUUAAUAAUUUUAAGCAUGGGUAUAUUGAAUAAUAAUUAGUUAUUUAUUAAAGAGUGAUAAAAAUCUUGUAUUUUUGUUAACUUUAAUAAAAUAAUUAUUAUUAUUAUUUAAUAUUUUAUUUAUUAAUUUAUCUAAUAUACAUUUAAAUAUUAUUAUUUUAUAAAACACAUGUGUUGAUAUAUUAUAUUUAAUAUUUAUUUGUAUAUUGUAUAUUAAUAAACCUAUGUAAUCCUGGUAUGCUGUAUGUCCCGUCUUGAAACACGGACCAAGGAGUGUAUUGCUAUGGCAAGUCAUUGAUAUUGUUAAUAUCAAAGGCAUAAUGAAAAUGAAUAUUAAUCUCAGAUCUUGUUAUUAUUUAUAAUAAGCGCAUGAGAGACGUAAAUAUAUGAUUUAUUCAUUUUUUGCAGUUAUAGCCAUAGUAGUGCGACCCGAAAGAUGGUGAACUAU